UCAAGAAACUUCCACAAUGGGCGAAAGCCUGAUGGAGCGACGUCGCGUGAUGGACGAAGUGCUUCGGCACGUAAACAUCUUUUAUGUGGGAUGAAAUUAUUGACAGUACCACAUGAAUAAGGGGCUCCUAACUCUGUGCCAGCAGGAGCGGUAAUACAGAGGCCCCAAGCGUUAUCCGGAAUCACUGGGCGUAAAGGGUGUCGAGGCGGUUGUAUUAGUCGUUCGUAAAAUCUACGAGCUUAACUUGUAGGCGGCGAACGAAACGGUACGACUUGAGGUUUGGAGAGGUGCGUGGAACUCACGGUGUAGGGGUGAAAUCCGUUGAUAUCGUGGGGAACACCAAAGGCGGAGGCAGCGCACUGGCCAAAAUCUGACGCUCACACACGAAAGCUAGGGUAGCGAAGAGGAUUAGAUACCCCCGUAGUCCCUGAGCGGGCUGGCAAGGCGCAU
Molecule: ribosomal RNA, 450 nt
Filed under: uncultured bacterium
Lineage: Bacteria
Description: bacterial SSU rRNA
Rfam family: Bacterial small subunit ribosomal RNA
Source: RNAcentral